UCAGGACGAACGCUGGCGGCGUGCCUAAUACAUGCAAGUCGAACGGUCUUUCUAUGGAAGCUUGCUUCCACUGAGAAGAUAGUGGCGAACGGGUGAGUAACACGUGGGUAACCUGCCCAUAAGAGGGGGAUAACAUCCGGAAACGGGUGCUAAUACCGCAUAGUUUUCUUGAUCGCAUGAUCGGGAAAGGAAAGACGGCCUUUGUGCUGUCGCUUAUGGAUGGACCCGCGGCGUAUUAGUUAGUUGGUGAGGUAACGGCUCACCAAGACGAUGAUACGUAGCCGACCUGAGAGGGUGAUCGGCCACAUUGGGACUGAGACACGGCCCAAACUCCUACGGGAGGCAGCAGUAGGGAAUCUUCCGCAAUGGACGAAAGUCUGACGGAGCAACGCCGCGUGAGUGAAGAAAGGUUUUCGGAUCGUAAAACUCUGUUGUCAGAGAAGAACAAGUUGGAGAGUAACUGCUCCAGCCUUGACGGUAUCUGACCAGAAAGCCACGGCUAACUACGUGCCAGCAGCCGC
This 521-nucleotide ribosomal RNA is filed under the name uncultured bacterium. RNAcentral describes it as "bacterial SSU rRNA". It matches the Rfam family "Bacterial small subunit ribosomal RNA", at positions 24 to 518 of the family's 1533-position model. The record is from RNAcentral.